RNAcentral lists this ribosomal RNA (484 nucleotides) under uncultured bacterium. RNAcentral describes it as "partial 16S ribosomal RNA". It matches the Rfam family "Bacterial small subunit ribosomal RNA", at positions 30 to 507 of the family's 1533-position model. The record is from RNAcentral.
AUUGAACGCUGGCGGCAGGCCUAACACAUGCAAGUCGAGCGGAUGAAGGGAGCUUGCUCCUGGAUUCAGCGGCGGACGGGUGAGUAAUGCCUAGGAAUCUGCCUGGUAGUGGGGGAUAACGUCCGGAAACGGGCGCUAAUACCGCAUACGUCCUGAGGGAGAAAGUGGGGGAUCUUCGGACCUCACGCUAUCAGAUGAGCCUAGGUCGGAUUAGCUAGUUGGUGGGGUAAAGGCCUACCAAGGCGACGAUCCGUAACUGGUCUGAGAGGAUGAUCAGUCACACUGGAACCGAGACACGGUCCAGACUCCUACGGGAGGCAGCAGUGGGGAAUAUUGGACAGUGGGCGAAAGCCUGAUCCAGCCAUGCCGCGUGUGUGAAGAAGGUCUUCGGAUUGUAAAGCACUUUAAGUUGGGAGGAAGGGCAGUAAGUUAAUACCUUGCUGUUUUGACGUUACCAACAGAAUAAGCACCGGCUAACUUCGUG